GUGCCAGCCGCCGCGGUAAUACGGAAGGUGCAAGCGUUAAUCGGAAUUACUGGGCGUAAAGCGCGCGUAGGUGGUUUGUUAAGUUGGAUGUGAAAGCCUCGGGCUCAACCUGGGAACUGCAUCCAAAACUGGCGAGCUAGAGUAUGGCAGAGGGUGGUGGAAUUUCCUGUGUAGCGGUGAAAUGCGUAGAUAUAGGAAGGAACACCAGUGGCGAAGGCGACCACCUGGGCUAAUACUGACACUGAGGUGCGAAAGCGUGGGGAGCAAACAGGAUUAGAUACCAGAUCGGACGG
RNAcentral lists this ribosomal RNA (293 nucleotides) under uncultured bacterium. RNAcentral's name for it is "partial 16S ribosomal RNA". It matches the Rfam family "Bacterial small subunit ribosomal RNA", at positions 505 to 798 of the family's 1533-position model. The record is from RNAcentral.